Molecule: ribosomal RNA, 664 nt
Filed under: Yersinia enterocolitica
Lineage: Bacteria; Pseudomonadati; Pseudomonadota; Gammaproteobacteria; Enterobacterales; Yersiniaceae
Description: partial 23S ribosomal RNA
Rfam family: Bacterial large subunit ribosomal RNA
Source: RNAcentral
AAACCCGGUGAUCUAGCCAUGGGCAGGUUGAAGGUUGGGUAACACUAACUGGAGGACCGAACCGACUAAUGUUGAAAAAUUAGCGGAUGACUUGUGGCUGGGGGUGAAAGGCCAAUCAAACCGGGAGAUAGCUGGUUCUCCCCGAAAGCUAUUUAGGUAGCGCCUCGUGAACUCAUCUUCGGGGGUAGAGCACUGUUUCGGCUAGGGGGUCAUCCCGACUUACCAAACCGAUGCAAACUCCGAAUACCGAAGAAUGUUAUCACGGGAGACACACGGCGGGUGCUAACGUCCGUCGUGAAGAGGGAAACAACCCAGACCGCCAGCUAAGGUCCCAAAGUCAUGGUUAAGUGGGAAACGAUGUGGGAAGGCACAGACAGCCAGGAUGUUGGCUUAGAAGCAGCCAUCAUUUAAAGAAAGCGUAAUAGCUCACUGGUCGAGUCGGCCUGCGCGGAAGAUGUAACGGGGCUAAACCAUGCACCGAAGCUGCGGCAGCGAACGUAUCACUUAAAACGCUUAACGUGACGGCAAAGCCGGCAUGUUCAAGCCACACUAAACGUUGAGUUGGCCGAUGUGCUGACAAACGAACAGGCGUUUUAAGGAUACGUUCGUUGGGUAGGGGAGCGUUCUGUAAGCCGUUGAAGGUGGCCUGUGAGGGUUGCUGGAG